AUUGAACGCUGGCGGCAUGCCUUACACAUGCAAGUCGAACGGUAACAGGUUAAGCUGACGAGUGGCGAACGGGUGAGUAAUGUAUCGGAACGUGCCCAGUCGUGGGGGAUAACUGCUCGAAAGAGCAGCUGAUACCGCAUACGACCUGAGGGUGAAAGCGGGGGAUCGCAAGACCUCGCUCGAUUGGAGCGGCCGAUAUCAGAUUAGGUAGUUGGUGAGGUAAAGGCUCACCAAGCCGACGAUCUGUAGCUGGUCUGAGAGGACGACCAGCCACACUGGGACUGAGACACGGCCCAGACUCCUACGGGAGGCAGCAGUGGGGAAUUUUGGACAAUGGGCGCAAGCCUGAUCCAGCCAUGCCGCGUGCGGGAAGAAGGCCUUCGGGUUGUAAACCGCUUUUGUCAGGGAAGAAAAGGUUCUGGCUAAUACCUGGGACUCAUGACGGUACCUGAAGAAUAAGCACCGGCUAACUACGUG
Molecule: ribosomal RNA, 477 nt
Filed under: uncultured bacterium
Lineage: Bacteria
Description: partial 16S ribosomal RNA
Rfam family: Bacterial small subunit ribosomal RNA
Source: RNAcentral